RNAcentral lists this ribosomal RNA (633 nucleotides) under Bacillus subtilis. RNAcentral describes it as "bacterial SSU rRNA". It matches the Rfam family "Bacterial small subunit ribosomal RNA", at positions 558 to 1191 of the family's 1533-position model. Lineage: Bacteria; Bacillati; Bacillota; Bacilli; Caryophanales; Bacillaceae. The record is from RNAcentral.
GCGUAAAGGGCUCGCAGGCGGUUUCUUAAGUCUGAUGUGAAAGCCCCCGGCUCAACCGGGGAGGGUCAUUGGAAACUGGGGAACUUGAGUGCAGAAGAGGAGAGUGGAAUUCCACGUGUAGCGGUGAAAUGCGUAGAGAUGUGGAGGAACACCAGUGGCGAAGGCGACUCUCUGGUCUGUAACUGACGCUGAGGAGCGAAAGCGUGGGGAGCGAACAGGAUUAGAUACCCUGGUAGUCCACGCCGUAAACGAUGAGUGCUAAGUGUUAGGGGGUUUCCGCCCCUUAGUGCUGCAGCUAACGCAUUAAGCACUCCGCCUGGGGAGUACGGUCGCAAGACUGAAACUCAAAGGAAUUGACGGGGGCCCGCACAAGCGGUGGAGCAUGUGGUUUAAUUCGAAGCAACGCGAAGAACCUUACCAGGUCUUGACAUCCUCUGACAAUCCUAGAGAUAGGACGUCCCCUUCGGGGGCAGAGUGACAGGUGGUGCAUGGUUGUCGUCAGCUCGUGUCGUGAGAUGUUGGGUUAAGUCCCGCAACGAGCGCAACCCUUGAUCUUAGUUGCCAGCAUUCAGUUGGGCACUCUAAGGUGACUGCCGGUGACAAACCGGAGGAAGGUGGGGAUGACGUCAAAUC